This 72-nucleotide transfer RNA is filed under the name Cavia porcellus (domestic guinea pig). It matches the Rfam family "tRNA". Rfam says of the family: Transfer RNA (tRNA) molecules are approximately 80 nucleotides in length. The record is from Rfam by way of RNAcentral. Lineage: Eukaryota; Metazoa; Chordata; Mammalia; Rodentia; Caviidae.
GGGGAUGUGGCUCAGUGGUGGAGUUUUUGCCUUAUAUGUACAAGGCCCUGAGUUCAAUCCCCAGCACCACAA